CGCCACUGGAUUGUCUGCUGAAACAAUUAUUCCCUCAGCUGGGACAACUCCUCCGGUCCUUUUCCCUAACUCCAAAACGGAAAAAAAAAAAGAAGGAAAUUUCCAUUCUGGGCUUGGAAAAUUUUUAGUCUUUGAAGCUGUUCAUCAUCUGGUUUGUGGAGUUCCAAGAAAAUGAGAAUCUAAAUUAAGCUGUGGAUGCUGAAGACUGGUUUUAGCAUGCCUGGAUGCAAAGGUAUAAAAUCGAAGGAUUGCUUUAGCUGUCAUUGUUUUGGUGUAGAAGGCAGGGUGGGAACACAUAAGUUCAAAGGCUUGAGAAAGUGCUGAACCUAGCUGCCUCGGAAAUGAGCGGUUGGCAAAACCACCAUCACAGUGAAGCAUUGGUGUUUUGUUGCAGAUGUCUUCUCUUAGAAUAUGGAGACAAGUAUUACAUGUAUAAAAUCUAGCAUGAACUUUUCACCAUCUGACUGUACAGUAUCCCUCUUCCACAUGUAGCAUUCACUCUCUGUAAAUAAUACUGUUACCUAUUAAGAAAACUCGGAAUCUGGUAAUUGAGCACCCGAGCGAUAGGUCACUUGUGGAAAUUGAAGUUUAAUCAAGAUGUGCAUGUAGAUCAAAUCUUGAAAAAUGUACUUUUCUUUCCCAUUAA
Molecule: long non-coding RNA, 646 nt
Organism: Coffea eugenioides
Lineage: Eukaryota; Viridiplantae; Streptophyta; Magnoliopsida; Gentianales; Rubiaceae
Exons: 2
Source: RefSeq, a predicted model, not a curated record